GCCCCCGUAGCUCAGAGGAUAGAGCGCCGGCCUCCGGAGCCGGGUGCGCAGGUUCGAGUCCUGCCGGGGGCGCCG
This 75-nucleotide transfer RNA is filed under the name Actinomycetes bacterium. Its description in RNAcentral is "Actinobacteria bacterium tRNA-Arg". It matches the Rfam family "tRNA". From Rfam's summary of the family: Transfer RNA (tRNA) molecules are approximately 80 nucleotides in length. The record is from RNAcentral. Lineage: Bacteria; Bacillati; Actinomycetota; Actinomycetes.